CAACUAACGUUACGACCUGACAUUAAAGGUGCUGUAGGUAGGAUUGUAAAGCUCCAGGACUUAGCCAAAGAAUUUGAACAUCGACAACUUCUCAGUCCCUCCCCCCUUUCUGCUACAGCCCAAAACAGUCUCCUAAGCCACUUCCCC
Long non-coding RNA from Etheostoma spectabile (orangethroat darter), 147 nucleotides. RefSeq lists it as uncharacterized. The record is from RefSeq and is a predicted model, not a curated record. The transcript has 3 exons. Lineage: Eukaryota; Metazoa; Chordata; Actinopteri; Perciformes; Percidae.